Molecule: ribosomal RNA, 506 nt
Filed under: uncultured bacterium
Lineage: Bacteria
Description: bacterial SSU rRNA
Rfam family: Bacterial small subunit ribosomal RNA
Source: RNAcentral
AGUACAGACGAGUUUGAUCAUGGCUCAGGAUGAACGCUAGCGGCAGGCCUAACACAUGCAAGUCGAGGGGUAGAACACUUCGGUGUUUGAGACCGGCGCACGGGUGCGUAACGCGUAUGCAAUCUACCUUGUACAGGGGAAUAGCCCAGAGAAAUUUGGAUUAAUGCCCCAUAGUAUAUAACCUUCGCAUGUUGGUUAUAUUAAAGUUCCAACGGUACAAGAUGAGCAUGCGUCCCAUUAGUUAGUUGGUAAGGUAACGGCUUACCAAGACGAUGAUGGGUAGGGGUCCUGAGAGGGAGAUCCCCCACACUGGUACUGAGACACGGACCAGACUCCUACGGGAGGCAGCAGUGAGGAAUAUUGGUCAAUGGUCGCAAGACUGAACCAGCCAUGCCGCGUGCAGGAAGACGGUCCUAUGGAUUGUAAACUGCUUUUAUACAGGAAGAAACCCUCCCACGUGUGGGAGCUUGACGGUACUGUAGGAAUAAGGAUCGGCUAACUCCGUG